RNAcentral lists this ribosomal RNA (309 nucleotides) under uncultured Klebsiella sp. RNAcentral's name for it is "bacterial SSU rRNA". It matches the Rfam family "Bacterial small subunit ribosomal RNA", at positions 355 to 655 of the family's 1533-position model. The record is from RNAcentral. Lineage: Bacteria; Pseudomonadati; Pseudomonadota; Gammaproteobacteria; Enterobacterales; Enterobacteriaceae.
UGGGGAAGUAUUGCACAAUGGGCGCAAGCCUGAUGCAGCCAUGCCGCGUGUGUGAAGAAGGCCUUCGGGUUGUAAAGCACUUUCAGCGGGAGGAAAGCAGGUGAGGUUAAUAACCUCAUCGAUUGACGUUACCCGCAGAAGAAGCACCGGCUAACUCCGUGCCAGCAGCCGCGGUAAUACGGAGGGUGCAAGCGUUAAUCGGAAUUACUGGGCGUAAAGCGCACGCAGGCGGUCUGUCAAGUCGGAUGUGAAAUCCCCGGGCUCAACCUGGGAACUGCAUUCGAAACUGGCAGGCUAGAGUCUUGUAGA